RNAcentral lists this ribosomal RNA (881 nucleotides) under uncultured Neocallimastigales. Its description in RNAcentral is "partial large subunit ribosomal RNA". The stretch from base 98 to 881 matches the Rfam family "Eukaryotic large subunit ribosomal RNA", at positions 1 to 637 of the family's 3401-position model. Lineage: Eukaryota; Fungi; Neocallimastigomycota; Neocallimastigomycetes; Neocallimastigales. The record is from RNAcentral.
AGAGAGAGACAUGCGUGCAUAUCAAUAAGCGGAGGAAAAGGCUGCGGAACUGAACGACCGCUACCUACGCUUAGGAUGUUGAAGUCAUCGUAUCGCGCGUGCUUGAUCUAUACAUGACUCUGCGCAUAUCAAUAAGCGGAGGAAAAGAAACUAACUAGGAUUCCCUCAGUAACGGCGAGUGAAGCGGGAAGAGCUCAAAUUUGAAAUCUUCAAGGUUCUACCUUGACGAAUUGUAGUUUAAAGAAGUGUUUUCUGUUGGAGUUUUGGUAAAAGUUCUUUGGAAUAGGACAUCAUAGAGGGUGAGAAUCCCGUAUUUGACCUUUACUUUCAACUUUGUGAUACACUUUCAAAGAGUCGGAUUGUUUGGGAAUGCAGUCCAAAAUGGGUGGUAAAUUUCAUCUAAAGCUAAAUAUUGGCGAGAGACCGAUAGCGAACAAGUACCGUGAGGGAAAGAUGAAAAGAACUUUGAAAAGAGAGUUAAACAGUACGUGAAAUUGUCAAAAGGGAAGCGUUUGACACCAGUGUUGUUUUCUCGAAAAUCAAUUAAAAAAGGCAGGAUUUUGUGUUGUAUUGACUUUAUCAGCUUUCUGCACUCUUUUCUUGUCUUUUUUAAUGCACUUUUCGUUUAACAAGUCAACAUCAAUUUCUUUUGUUGUAAAAGGGUCAUUGGAAGGUGGCUUUCACUUCGGUGAAAGUGUUUAUAGCCUUUGAUCUCUGCAAUCGGAGAGACUGAGGUCUGCAGCGUAGAUCCUUCGGGGUUAGAUACAUUUGUGCUAAGUUAUAACUUUUCAUAGACAACUUGUUGACUAUGUUUAGUCAUGUAGCUUACUCGCUUAUGCUAUUUUACCUACGCUUAGGAUGUUGAUAUCGCGCUCUCACUG